UACGAAGGGGGCUAGCGUUGCUCGGAAUCACUGGGCGUAAAGCGCACGUAGGCGGCUUGUUAAGUCAGGGGUGAAAUCCCGGGGCUCAACCCCGGAAUUGCCUUUGAAACUGCAUUGCUAGAGUGUCGGAGGGGAUAGCGGAAUUCCUAAUGUAGAGGUGAAAUUCGUAGAUAUUAGGAGGAACACCGGUGGCGAAGGCGGCUAUCUGGACGACAACUGACGCUGAGGCGCGAAAGCACGGGGAUCAAACAGG
Molecule: ribosomal RNA, 253 nt
Filed under: uncultured prokaryote
Description: partial 16S ribosomal RNA
Rfam family: Bacterial small subunit ribosomal RNA
Source: RNAcentral